GUUGAUCCUGCGGGAGAUUGCUGCUAUUGGGAUUCGACUAAGCCAUGCAAGUCCAGGGGUCGCAAGACACCGGCAGACUGCUCAGUAACACGUCGAUAAUCUGCCCUCAGAUCCAUGACAACCUUGGGAAACUGAAGCUAAACAUGGAUAGGGGAUGGAGGCUGGAAUGCGCCAUCCCUGAAACGCAAGGUCUGAGGAUGAGUCGGCGGCUGAUUAGGUAGUUGGAGAGGUAACGGCUCACCAAGCCGAAGAUCAGUACGGGCCAUGAGAGUGGUAGCCCGGAGAAGGGUCCUGAGACACAGACCCUAGCCCUACGGGGUGCAGCAGGCGAAAACUUUACAAUGCACGAAAGUGUGAUAAGGGAAUCCCAAGUGCGUGUGUACUGCACACGCUUUUGCCACGAGUAAAUAUCUUGGCGAAUAAGCUGGGAAAGACUGGUGCCAGCAGCCGCGGUAACCCCAGCGCCACAAGUGGCAAUCACAAUUACUGGGCCUAAAGCGUCCGUAGCCGGCCUGAUGAAUCUUUUGUGAAAUCAUGGGGCUUAACUCCAUGACGUGCAGGAGACACUGUCAGGCUUGGGACCGGGAGGAGUCAGAGGUAUUCCGGGGGGAGCGGUAAAAUGUUAUAAUCCUCGGCAGACCACCUGUGGCGAAGGCGUCUGACUAGAACGGAUUCGACGGUGAGGGACGAAGGCUGGGGGAGCAAAACGGAUUAGAUACCCGAGUAGUCCCAGCUGUAAACGCUGCAAGCUAGGUGUUGCAUAUUCUUCGUGAGUAUGCAGUGUCGUAGUGAAGACGUUAAGCUUGCCGCCUGGGAAGUACGGUCGCAAGACUGAAACUUAAAGGAAUUGGCGGGGGAGCACUACAAGGGGUGCGGCGUGCGGUUUAAUCUAACUCAACGCAGAGAAUCUUACCAGGAGCGACGGAAGGAUGAAAGUCAGGCUGAAGACCUUACUUGACGAUCCGAGAGGUAGUGCAUGGCCGUCGUCAGCUCGUGCCGUAAGGUGUCCUGUUAAGUCAGGCAACGAGCGAGACCUGCGUUUACAAUUGCUAACGACAGCUUGCUGGAUUGAGCACAUUGUAAGGACUGCCCUGGAAACAGGGAGGAAGGUGCAGGCUACGGUAGGUCUGUAUGCUCCGAAUCCUCUGGGCUACACGCGCGCAACAAUGGUAAGGACACUGGGAUGCAACUCCGAGAGGAGAAGCCAAGCCUCGAAACCUUAUCCUAGUCCAGAUUGAGGGCUGUAACUCGCCCUCAUGACGCUGGAAUCCCUAGUAAUCGGAACUCAUCACAUUCCGGUGAAUAUGUCCCUGCUCCUUGCACACACCGCCCGUCAAACCAACCGAGCAGGGUUUAGAUGAGCCGUGGUUUCCUUGAUCACGUCAAAUCUAAGCUCAGUGAGGUGGGUUAAGUCGUCACAAGGUA
RNAcentral lists this ribosomal RNA (1425 nucleotides) under metagenome. RNAcentral's name for it is "bacterial SSU rRNA". It matches the Rfam family "Archaeal small subunit ribosomal RNA". The record is from RNAcentral.